UUAGUUGUUGUUGUUGUUUUUUUUUUUGUUUUUUUUUUUAAGAGAUAGAUAAGCACGCUACCUGUUUCGUUUAUUUUAUUUAGAAAUAAACUUAGCUGAAAAUGUGAAUUAAUUAGGAUUCGAACUUGGUAUUUCGGGUAUCAAUCACCAAGUUCUUUACCACUUGUUCUAGAGAUGGUCAGCAGCAACUUUAGUUGUUGUUUACAUGCCAGAAGCGUAAUGCUUUGGCAAUUCAAAAGUAAAGUAAAGAUGCUUUACCAAAGAGCAAGCUAUAGAACCACACCGAAGGAUCGAUAAAGUAUGUAAUUGUAACCAUAUAGCAGUUGUAAUUAUAUAUGUAUAUAGAGUUGGACUGGGCUACUAUUAGUAGCAAAAUUCUAUUGUUGCUACCAGUUUUUUAGCUUUUGGAUCAACUCUUUUCAUUAUUUCUAACCAUUGGAUUAAAUACUAUAACCCAGUGGGGACCACUCAACCCUAGGGGGACCACUCAACUCUAACCGACUAAUAUCAUCCUGACUCUACAAUUUUUCAUCCAAAGGUUAAAAACUUGAUAGCAAAAAGAGCGUUUUACUAUUAAUAGUAUUACAGCCUAAUUCAAUAUAUAUAUAUAUAUAUAUAUAUAUAUAUAUGAGCUAGAAUACUCUCAAGAGUAAACGAGCCCGUUUACUCUCGAGUUGUUUUCGAUUAUAGAGCUUCCAAAUUGACGAUCGGCUCCGUUGAAUAUGAUUUAUACCACUUGAAGUGUUUAGAAAUCAAAUUUCAAAUCUUUUCGACAUCAUUUGCCUAAUGAUCAAAGGGUUUCAAAAUUUGUAAUUUUAAUGGUGGAUAAGAGACGUUUUCUCGUUUAACGGUGUAAAGAUAUCCAAAUCAAUUGAAUUUUUGUUAGAA
RNAcentral lists this long non-coding RNA (888 nucleotides) under Ananas comosus (pineapple). RNAcentral describes it as "long non-coding RNA (ACOM_LNC006033)". Lineage: Eukaryota; Viridiplantae; Streptophyta; Magnoliopsida; Poales; Bromeliaceae. The record is from RNAcentral.